Molecule: long non-coding RNA, 845 nt
Filed under: Chinchilla lanigera (long-tailed chinchilla)
Lineage: Eukaryota; Metazoa; Chordata; Mammalia; Rodentia; Chinchillidae
Description: lncRNA (ENSCLAG00000027016.1)
Source: RNAcentral
AUGUACUGCAGCUCUCAGACGGAAGAUGAAAAUCUUAAUCAACUCAAGAAGUCCUGGAGUCUGAGGUUCUGUGUAUGUUUACCUGAGCAACAUGGGGAUAAAAUACACCCAUACCAUGCUUCUGUGUGCAAACCUGUAUUUUACCAUAAUGGAAUAUGGGUGUCACUCACAGUAGCUGUGCCUGGGACAGCAAAAUGUUACCUGUGCAGAGGAAUGGCAAGCUGUGUACAGGAGGUCCAAAUCAGCAGCAGUUCAGGUCUCCACCGCCAAGCUUUGCAGCUGUAUCACCAGCAUUGUGUCCCUGGAUUGAAAGUCCCACUUCCUGAAGCCAGAGAAAAUGUUUGAGUGAACUGGGAGAUGCAAAACCAGUCUUUUAAAUUCUGUAAGCAAUUUUAUAGUUCAUUUUCAGAGGAGAGAAGGGAGGGAGGAGAAUGAAGAAAAGAAUAUUUGAAAAAUGGGGGGGGGGUAUUAUAUUGCUGUACUUUAUUUAACUGAAGUAUAGACCAGAUAAGAAUGUGAACUCUUCAGCUCUCAUUUGCUCACCCAGAAUGUCCUAAGUCUGAUACUAUUGAAACCAAUUUAUUUUUCCAUAUUCAGCCAGUUUCUUUGUUAUUUUUAGCUUGAAACUUCUAUCUAGAACAUUCUAUGAAAAACUGGACCAAUUUCCUUUCCCUCCUUCCCUCUAUCCCUCCCCCUCUCUCUGUCCCACCCCACUUCCUCUGUCCCUUCCUUCUUCCCUUCCUUUUUUAUUUUUAUUUUCUUCUUCUUCUUCUUCUUCUUCUUCUUCUUCUUCUUCUUCUUCUUCUUCUUCUUCUUCUUCUUCUUCUUCUUCUUCUUCUUCUUCU